This 334-nucleotide long non-coding RNA is filed under the name Hordeum vulgare. Its description in RNAcentral is "long non-coding RNA (HVUL_LNC008880)". Lineage: Eukaryota; Viridiplantae; Streptophyta; Magnoliopsida; Poales; Poaceae. The record is from RNAcentral.
CCAUGAAAAACCAAUCGGGAGUCCGUUCUGGCACCGUGUUGGAGGGGGAGAUAAUCUCCGGUGGCCAUCUUCAUCAUCCCGGUGGAGGCCAUGACGAGGAGGGAGCUGUCCACCCUCAGGGCUGAGGGUUUGUACAAGUAGCUAUGUGUUCAAUCUUUCUCUCUCUCUCUCUCUCUCUCUCUCUCUCGUGUUCUUGAGAUGUCAUGAUCUUGAUAUAUCACGGGCCUUGUUCAUAUAGUUGGAUCAUAUGGUGUUUGUCCCAAGAUAUUGUUAUGAUGAAUUAUGUCUUUCACUUUAAGAUCUCGUUAUGUUGGAUUGAAUAUUCAGGUUUGAG